GACGAACGCUGGCGGCGUGCUUAACACAUGCAAGUCGAACGGAAAGGCCCCUUUGGGGGUACUCGAGUGGCGGACGGGUGAGUAACACGUGCGUAACCUGCCCUUGACUUCGGGAUAACUUCAGGAAAAUGGGGCUAAUACCGGAUCGGAAUCCUUGCUGCAUGGUGGGGGUUGGAAAGCUUCGGCGGAUUUGGAUGGACUCGCGGCUUAUCAGCUUGUUGGUGGGGUAGUGGCUUACCAAGGCGUUGACGGGUAGCCGGCCUGAGAGGGCGACCGGCCACAUUGGGACUGAGAUACGGCCCAGACUCCGACGGGAGGCAGCAGUGGGGAAUAUUGCACAAUUGGCGGAAGCCUGAUGCAGCAACGCCGCGGGCGGGAUGACGGCCUUCGGGUUGUAAACCGCUUUCAGCAGGGGCGAAGCUUGUGGUGACGGUACCUGCAGAAGAAGCACCGGCUAACUACGUG
This 465-nucleotide ribosomal RNA is filed under the name uncultured bacterium. Its description in RNAcentral is "partial 16S ribosomal RNA". It matches the Rfam family "Bacterial small subunit ribosomal RNA", at positions 28 to 507 of the family's 1533-position model. The record is from RNAcentral.